GGUCCUGUAGCUCAGUUGGGAGAGUAUCACCUUGACAUGGUGGGGUCGCUGGUUCGAGACCAGUCGGGACCA
Molecule: transfer RNA, 72 nt
Filed under: Listeria monocytogenes
Lineage: Bacteria; Bacillati; Bacillota; Bacilli; Caryophanales; Listeriaceae
Description: tRNA-Val
Rfam family: tRNA
About the family: Transfer RNA (tRNA) molecules are approximately 80 nucleotides in length. Their secondary structure includes four short double-helical elements and three loops (D, anti-codon, and T loops).
Source: RNAcentral